CCGUCUCUCUCUCUCUCUUUCUUCCCAGUCCCUUCUCCGGCAGAGAAGAGAGUGGAAGAUGGCGUCCACCGCUCUCAAGGGCUGCCCCGCGGCGGCGUUCCCCGGGCUGCUUUCCUCCUCCAGGUCAAAAUUCGCCGUGGCUCUCCCCCUUCCCGCCGCCAACGCGGCGGCGUCCCGCUUCACCAUGUCCGCCGAGUGGAUGCCCGGCCAGCCCCGCCCCCCCUACCUCGACGGCUCCGCCCCCGGGUGAGAGAGAAGCCCUCUCCCUCUCCCUCUCCCUCUCCCUCUCCCUCUCCCUCUCCUUCUCCUUUUUCUGAUCCUGUUCUUGUUCUUGCUGACGAUCCGCCGGAUUGGUGGCACAGAGACUUCGGGUUCGACCCGCUGCGGCUUGGGGAGGUGCCGGAGAAUCUGGAGAGGUUCAAGGAGUCGGAGCUCAUCCACUGCAGAUGGGCCAUGCUCGCCGUGGUGAGUAGCAGCAGCAGCAGCAGCUCAUUCACUGCAGAUGGGCCGCCGUGCUGUGCCGAUUUCUGACGAUUUGCUGGGCCACCGUUCGUUCUCUCUUUCUGUCAUCGCAGCCGGGGAUUCUGGUGCCGGAGGCGCUGGGCCUGGGUAACUGGGUGAAGGCCCAGGAGUGGGCGGCGGUGCCCGGCGGGCAGGCUACCUACCUGGGCAACCCCGUCCCAUGGGGCACCCUCCCGACCAUCCUCGCCAUCGAGUUCGUCGCCAUCGCCUUCGUCGAGCACCAGCGCAGCAUGGAGAAGGACCCGGAGAAGAAGAAGUACCCCGGCGGCGCCUUCGACCCCCUCGGCUACUCCAAGGACCCCGCCAAGUUCCAAGAGUACAAGGUCAAGGAGAUCAAGAACGG
RNAcentral lists this long non-coding RNA (865 nucleotides) under Spirodela polyrhiza (greater duckweed). Its description in RNAcentral is "long non-coding RNA (SPOL_LNC001497)". Lineage: Eukaryota; Viridiplantae; Streptophyta; Magnoliopsida; Alismatales; Araceae. The record is from RNAcentral.